UGUUAAAACUUUAAUCCAUUUAUACUAUUAAAAAUUAGUAUUGCUGACGAAAUAAUCAAACAAUUAUAUGUGGCGUGCCAUGUAUACUUGAUGCUUAUGUACAAUGUCUAGUUUUUAAUAAUAAAAAUGGAUGAAAUUCUUAACA
Molecule: microRNA precursor, 145 nt
Organism: Gossypium arboreum
Lineage: Eukaryota; Viridiplantae; Streptophyta; Magnoliopsida; Malvales; Malvaceae
Rfam family: MIR7502 microRNA precursor family
Source: Rfam